This is a long non-coding RNA of Esox lucius (northern pike), 741 nucleotides long. The record is from Ensembl. NCBI's taxonomy places the organism in Eukaryota, Metazoa, Chordata, Actinopteri, Esociformes, Esocidae.
CUCAUACUCUGUGUAAUGACUUGUCUCAGGUCCUCCACAGCUCAUACUCUGUGUAAUGACUUGUCUCAGGUCCUCCACAGCCCAUACUCUGUGUAGUGACUUGUUUCAGGUCCUCCACAGCUCAUACUCUGUGUAGUGACUCUUCCUCCUCUUACACGUCCUCUUCCUCCUCACUCUCUGUCUCUGUUUCAUUGUCGGGCAGACUCUCUCUGUCCCUUCGGCUCAGAACAUGUCUAGAACAACUAAGCAGGGGUUAUUCUGUUCUACCUAUCAACUCUUUCUUUUCCUCUGUUUCUUGAUCUGUGUCCAGUCUGGAGGCUGGAAUAUCUGUGAGCUCUGUGAUACAAGGAUGUGGUUUUGAUGUGAUCUGAGCAGACUGGUGGGGUUGAAGUAGCCUGGCUGUGACAAAGCAGUGCCCCUCCACAGCCCAUACUCUGUGUAGUGACUUGUCUCAGGUCCUCCACAGCUCAUACUCUGUGUAGUGACUUGUCUCAGGUCCUCCACCGCUCAUACUCUGUGUAAUGACUUGUCUCAGGUCCUCCACAGCUCAUACUCUGUGUAAUGACUUGUCUCAGGUCCUCCACAGCCCAUACUCUGUGUAAUGACUUGUCUCAGGUCCUCCACAGCUCAUACUCUGUGUAAUGACUUGUCUCAGGUCCUCCACAGCUCAUACUCUGUGUAAUGACUUGUCUCAGGUCCUCCACCGCUCAUACUCUGUGUAAUGACUUGUCUCAGGUCCUC